CUCACUUUUCUUGCCAUAUCCGCCUAUAUACCGCCGUCGUCAGCUUACUCUGUGAGGAACUUGUCGUAAGCACAACCGGCAAAGCCCAAAACGUCAGGUCGAGGUGUAGCGAAUGGAAAGGGAAGAAAUGGGCUACAUUCAAUAGUUAUAAUGAAUACGAAUGAUGUCUUGAAACAGACAUCUGAAGGAGGAUUUAGUAGUAAGCAGAGAAUAGAGUGCCCUGCUGAAAUUGGCCCUGAAGCGCGUACACACCGCCCGUCACUCUCCCCGAGCUAAUAAAAACAAAUUACUAAUAAACAAAACCUGCAAAGGGGAGGCAAGUCGUAACAUGGUAAGCGUACCGGAAGGUGCGCUUGGAAAAAC
This 363-nucleotide ribosomal RNA is filed under the name Macropharyngodon ornatus (ornate leopard wrasse). RNAcentral's name for it is "partial 12S ribosomal RNA". It matches the Rfam family "Bacterial small subunit ribosomal RNA", at positions 1019 to 1527 of the family's 1533-position model. Lineage: Eukaryota; Metazoa; Chordata; Actinopteri; Labriformes; Labridae. The record is from RNAcentral.